GGACUCCAGUGGCUGGAGUGGAAGUGAGGAAGAGGGAGAGCUCCUGGGCACCAGAAUGAAUGGGGAGGGUCCUUUAGGGCACUGUGAGGCCAUUAGCUUUUACUCCUACUGAGACUGGACAUCCCAGGAGAGUUUCAGAGCAGAGAAGUGCUAUGACUGCUCUUGAAGUUUAAGAGGACCAGGUGGCUGGCUUUGCUGUGUGUCAGAGAACAGGAGCAGAAACAGGGAGACCAGCUGGGAGGUGACUGCAAAAGUCCAGUGUAUCAUCUUUCUUGCUGCCCUUGAAGAGUGGUGUCCAGUGAAUCUUUCAAAGAAUGAUACUGAGCUUCAUUGUUGAUGAACAAAAAUGCAAAUCUCACCCAGAGCAUGCAGGAACAUGCUAUAAUCACUACACUCCUAGAAUGUGAUCUCUUUCAAUAUUGACUGCAUCCAUGCCUUCCACACACUUGCACCAGUUGGGAGGAUGGAGAUGUCAUCUGGGCAGAGGGAGAAGAGCAGUACCAUUCAGAGGUCUGUCCCUCUUAAGAUAUAUUCUCUCUGUCAACCUAGAACUCAAAGGGCUGUGUGAAAAGUUUACUGUGGAAAAAGAAAUUGAAAAAACUGCCACUAAGUAGCAAUGGAAGGACUUUUCCCGCUAAGAUGAGGAACUGCUCAGAUCACCAGCUGCUUCAGGUUACCAGCCCACACCUGUCUGUCUCACCUCUGACAACCUUGGUAAAGAAACCAAGGCUUAGAGACCUGCUCACAGUCGUUUCGUGAGGGAAUGCAACAUCUGGGUCUAGGGUCCAAAUCUAUCUCUGCUGUGAAGAGGAACUCAUACAGGAGAUCUACAUGAUUACCAAUUCUUGGCCUUGCAGUGGAGGAUAUUAAUUUUAAGUACCUGUGAAAUGAAGUUCUUAAAACCUAAGAUUCCCCAAAACUCCAGUUAUCAACAAGGUUAUAUAGGAAUCAAAGCGAGGCGUUUGGAGUAGAUGCCGAGAUCACCUCUCCCUCACACCUCUGCUGACCCCAGCUACCUGCAAUCCUGCCAGGACCAUUCUGGAGUACCUUUCACUGAAGACAAAUUUAUUGUAAAAUUUCUACUGGGAUUCAUUGUAG
This 1098-nucleotide long non-coding RNA is filed under the name Homo sapiens (human). RNAcentral's name for it is "HSALNT0191676". The record is from RNAcentral. Lineage: Eukaryota; Metazoa; Chordata; Mammalia; Primates; Hominidae.